Hevea brasiliensis (rubber tree) is the source of this 624-nucleotide long non-coding RNA. RefSeq lists it as uncharacterized. The transcript is spliced from 3 exons. The record is from RefSeq and is a predicted model, not a curated record. NCBI's taxonomy places the organism in Eukaryota, Viridiplantae, Streptophyta, Magnoliopsida, Malpighiales, Euphorbiaceae.
GUAGAUUAUAACUCUCUUACCUCUUUUCAUGGCUAUUAUAGAAGUGCAUUUGGACAAUGGCUAGCACCUAACUCUGCAAUUACAAUUCAAAUGAUUACCUGCAGUUUUUAUUUUGAGUUGAGAUAUUAUGUGACUAUAUUGCCAUGUGGACACACAAUUCACAAGAAAUGCUUGAAGGAGAUGAGAGAACACUACUAAUAUGCUUGCCCUCUCUGCUCCAAGUCAGUUUGAGAUAUGUCUAAGGUUCUCCUAGGAGGUCCAAAGAAUGCUCAUGAAAUCCAAAGAAUGCUCAUGAAACUAUGAAAAACUUUGGCCCAGCUUUUGGUGUGCCACACAGCUGUACUAGACCACAUGUGCGGUCAAAGGGAAGGAAGUUUGAGAGAGCUAGAGGGACGAGAAAUAGCAAGGGAUUGAGGGUUUGAGUUGUUUUUAGUUCCAAAAUGCCAGGCAAUUAUUUUAUCUUUUAUUAUUAUGUCCCAAAUUUUGUUAGACUCUAGGUUCCAAUGGAACUUGUUUAUGUUAUUAUUAAUUCCUAGCUUGAAUUGUUUAUGUUAUCUAUAUAUAAUAUUGAUUGAUAUUUAAUAUUUGAUACCCUUAUAUCAUAAAUAUUGUGAUAUUGAGCAC